RNAcentral lists this transfer RNA (84 nucleotides) under Lentinula aff. boryana. RNAcentral's name for it is "tRNA-Gln". It matches the Rfam family "tRNA". From Rfam's summary of the family: Transfer RNA (tRNA) molecules are approximately 80 nucleotides in length. Lineage: Eukaryota; Fungi; Basidiomycota; Agaricomycetes; Agaricales; Omphalotaceae. The record is from RNAcentral.
GGUCCAAUAGUGUAGAGGUUAUCACACAGGAUUCUGAAAAAGAAGAGAUUUCCUGUGACCCAGGUUCGAGUCCUGGUUGGACCU